Dunckerocampus dactyliophorus (ringed pipefish) is the source of this 2684-nucleotide long non-coding RNA. RefSeq lists it as uncharacterized. The record is from RefSeq and is a predicted model, not a curated record. Lineage: Eukaryota; Metazoa; Chordata; Actinopteri; Syngnathiformes; Syngnathidae. The transcript has 4 exons.
UCCGCCAACGCCUCAGACACAAUCUGGGCAAAGAACAGAGGGCUGUCUCAUAGCUGUCAUCCACCUUUAUCUGUUUUUACAGGAAACUCUUGGUGGAUCGAGCAAAGUACAUUUCAGACUCAGCAGUUAUUUUGAAGGCUUCAAGUAAAUCUGGUUCAUUUUUAGACAAGAGCUUUAUGGCCUCCUCUUCACCUUGAGGCGACAAGUUUACCAAGAGUUUAAUCUGUUCACUGAGGUAUGCUUCAUCGCAGCGCGCUUCUUCAUCAUGGCAUCUCAGACAAAGUUCGCAGGCCCCUAAAUUUGCCAUUGCAGUUUUCUCUUUGUGCAGUCCAAGUCCUUUGAACUUCCUUCAGAGAAAUAUUCUAUCGUGAUGUCAAUCUUCUUCACACACGAUGCGCGAUGUUUUGGUAAAUGCUUGCCGUCUCCCAAAAAAUGGUCUGGUUUCCUUGAGCAAUGUGAGUUAACCCUUUAGGUGUUAGGAGUUUUUUUCAGUUUUGACAUUACUAUUUCAAAAGGUUGUAGCUUGAAAAUGGUUAGAGAUAAAGGCAUACUGUAAUUGAGAAAAAUCAUCAGUAUGGGAGUAAAUUCACUCAUCUAAUUUGCAUAUUAUGAUAUCACCAGGCUCACAAUUUGUCAGGUCCCUGUCUCCAUGAUACCGGCUCAUCAACAGGCUCAUCAAAAUGUCUGAUCCACUUGUGAAACUCUUCCUCAUCUCUCAAGCAGACCCAGCCAUCAUCAUUGUCAUUACAGCAGGAUGUUGAACACCAUUGCUGCCUCUACCGCUAUUAUUACCACUGUUAUUAUACAGAUAGAUAUAAAGUAUGCCUGUGAAUAUUCUCAUUCAUACAGGUCAUUGUUUUCUCAGGUCAUAUCUAUCUAUUAGCAGUGCAUUUUCUGCCGAGGAGUCUCCCGCGGAUACUACCACGUGUGCCGCUAUUUCUGCGUUUUUUUACAUUCGCGCAACACCCCUCAACAACCCACCACGUCCCAUCCUGCCACCCUGAAAACGGUAAAGCAAAGCAUCCCCUCAAGUAUGCUGCGUGUGGACUGUCAGGGCGAGCGGACUUGAUGCCGCACGCAAACCGGGUUUCAAAGUCUAUAAACUUUUAAACUUUGCAUAGAAUUUACAUGCCCACAAAUGUGAUUCAGAUUGAAGUUACAGAUGUCUGCUAUCUCCUGGUGUAAAGUAUUAACUACAUGAAGCACCAUAUUUGCGCAAAUGGCUUGUUAAUUUCAGCAAUGUUGCUUGUCCCAAUUUUGCGAAAAUUGGAGCUUAAUUGGCGCUUAAAGGGCUGUAACUCAAAUUAAUAUCCUCACGGUUCCUCUCUCAACGCUUCAGGAAUGAUAACAAUUUGCUGAACCGGUUGGAAGGUGAAACAUUGUUUCUGGGAUUAUCUACAAACAUUAGUCAUUCAUUUUGGAGGAAGAAAGGUAAUUUACUUUCCACUGACAGCACAGUGAGUCGAUCUUUCGCUGCGCCAUAAUCUAAAUCUAUAUUUUUUAUGAGCCCAAUAACUUGUCUUCGGUUGUUCUCCUUAACGGGAGGUAGUUCCUGCAGUUUCGUCAGGACCUCAACAAUGAUUGGAUUGUGUUUUGUUUCCAUACUUGUUUUCCAAGACUUUGAAUGUCUCUUUGCCAGUGCUAUAGGACGUUAGUCUGAGGUGUUUUAUUAUCUUUUUGUCUGUACUGUCUAUUAACUGAGCUUUUAUAACUUCAUCUGAUCCAUGUGAGUUUGCUUGUCUUUGCAGUGAUCCCCCAUCUGUAAUAGCUUCUGUUGCAGCCAAUGAAGAUGGGUGUGUACUGGACGGACUGGGACUGGUGGUUGUUGCACUCCGGCCAGUGUUUUCCUUGUUAGUGGUAUGCAAAAUGGGGCUGUUUUAUACUUCACUGCAUUUCUAGUCUCCGAUAGUUUCGACCUGAUUCUUAGUUCCGUCAUCUCUCCCUGUGGUACCGACAUUUGCCACGCUGAAAUAGCUUGCUUUGCCCCGGUCACCUGUUUUUCGAAUUUAUCCAGGAGUGAUUUGUAGUCAUCUCGAUUCAUGUCAGCAGGGGAUAGCACACUAUGUCACAGCCCUUUUCAGCCCUUUUAAUUACGAAUAUAAGCUUAUACUCCAUAUAUCUCGUCAAUAGGUGGAACUGAAUAAGUUCCUCAGUUUCCAUGUACUUUGCUUUGAUUCCUUCCAAGUCGUUUUCCAAUUGCUCUUUAAUUGCUAUGUUUUCUUUUCCAUCAGGUGCUUCACCUUCAAGGAGUUCAACUGUUGUGUCUUCCGUUACGUCAAUUAUUCUUUGAAAAUAACUCAAGAGUCUGGUGAAUUCUCCUCAUAAUUCUUUCUCCACCAUCUUGUCUGCCUUAAACUGAAUAAGGUUACUUUUUAAGUUCUGUGUGUUCUGGUAAUCGAUCCUCCUUUUUAAUGGGUCUGUGUUAGUAGCAGUUUGCUUCCUUUAAAGAAUUUCUUUUCUAUCCAACAACUGCUCUGUGGUUAUCAACUGUCAAGUUCCUUUGUGCAUAAGCCAGCCUGCACUUGAAAAGGCUGAGAAGACCAUAGAGGACGCAUUAUCAACUCAACUCCAUCAGAUUUUCUUCAGUUUUAUUUCACACUUAAACUACACUGCUCAAAAAAAUUAAAGGAACACUUGGAAAACACAUCAGAUCUAAACUGGGGGAAAAAUGAUCUUGAAUAUCU